Molecule: transfer RNA, 73 nt
Filed under: Dipodomys ordii (Ord's kangaroo rat)
Lineage: Eukaryota; Metazoa; Chordata; Mammalia; Rodentia; Heteromyidae
Rfam family: tRNA
About the family: Transfer RNA (tRNA) molecules are approximately 80 nucleotides in length. Their secondary structure includes four short double-helical elements and three loops (D, anti-codon, and T loops). Further hydrogen bonds mediate the characteristic L-shaped molecular structure. tRNAs have two regions of fundamental functional importance: the anti-codon, which is responsible for specific mRNA codon recognition, and the 3' end, to which the tRNAs corresponding amino acid is attached (by aminoacyl-tRNA synthetases). tRNAs cope with the degeneracy of the genetic code in two manners: having more than one tRNA (with a specific anti-codon) for a particular amino acid; and 'wobble' base-pairing, i.e. permitting non-standard base-pairing at the 3rd anti-codon position.
Source: Rfam by way of RNAcentral
AGGAGUGUGUCUCAAAUAGUAGAGUACUUGCUUAAUGAGCAGGAAGCCCUAAAUUCAAAUCCCAGUACUGCUA